Perca flavescens (yellow perch) is the source of this 388-nucleotide long non-coding RNA. RefSeq lists it as uncharacterized. The record is from RefSeq and is a predicted model, not a curated record. The transcript is spliced from 3 exons. NCBI's taxonomy places the organism in Eukaryota, Metazoa, Chordata, Actinopteri, Perciformes, Percidae.
CAAACGCAAAAGCCACAACACAAAUACAUAAGCCACAACACAAAUACAUAAGCGACAACGGAAGUAGCUAGCUAUGUGACAACGGAAGUAGCUAAGUGACAACGGAAGUGAACGUGUUGUUGAUAAACGGAGCCGGAGGAUGAGCAGAAGGAGAAGUUCUUGUAUGAGAAAUAACUACAGUAUGUAUUGUCCUUUUUGUGGGUUCAACCUACAUGUAGAAACAGCAUUCUGCAGUUCAUGUGGCAAGAACAUCACAUUUCUGCAUGAUGCUGCUAAGCCUGGCACAAGUGAAGAUUUCAGUUGGUAUUAUGCGCAUAAAGGAUGGAGUGCUGAAACCUGUCAGAGGAAUGGUACUACCCCUUGUAGUGCAACCAGGGUCGGAUGCAGA